AAAGAAUUAGUUAAUUUAUAACAUAAAUUUGUCAAAUUUAAAUAAUUUUUUUAAAAAAUAUUCUUUU
This 67-nucleotide transfer RNA is filed under the name Tinodes chinchinus. Its description in RNAcentral is "tRNA-Asp". Lineage: Eukaryota; Metazoa; Arthropoda; Insecta; Trichoptera; Psychomyiidae. The record is from RNAcentral.